AAGGUAUACCUUUAUAAGAUAGUUCAUGUAAUUUUUUCAAAAUCGAAUAUGCGGAAAGGAGCUGUUUGGAAUUAAGAUUUACAAGAAGAAGUAAUUCCAUCUAAUUGAAUUAGUGAUAAAAUUGUUUGUCGGCUUCCAGGUACCAAAGCAUUGACUGCACUAAAAUGCAGAGAAGAAUUGGCUUAAGUUUAUACAAAUAAAAACUAAAUUCUCUUCAGAGUAUUUUCGAAAAGUUAUAUGGUCUCUAUGGAUAUGAAGGG
This is a long non-coding RNA of Hydra vulgaris (swiftwater hydra), 260 nucleotides long. RefSeq lists it as uncharacterized. NCBI's taxonomy places the organism in Eukaryota, Metazoa, Cnidaria, Hydrozoa, Anthoathecata, Hydridae. The record is from RefSeq and is a predicted model, not a curated record.